GUACCUUUGCAACCGCUUUCGAGAGGGAGAGCCGCUGAGAAUGACAGACUGGUAAAGAGAGGCAGACUUUCAAAGGCGCUGCACCCGAGUAUCUUACCUUGCAAGACGGCAAGGGAGCGAGAAACGGAUAAGCCCCGCGAGGUCAUCCCGAGAAACUUUUUCGAAAAAAACUUUCGGAAAAAUUUGGAGGGAAAGAAAAAACGCCUUACCUUUGCAAACGCUUUCCCGCUGAAACGGGAGCACGAAAGAAAGAUAGUUCUUUGAAAGACUUUAGAUAAACAAACGAAGAUGUAGUACAAGAAGUAGUCUUAUAUAUAAUGUAUAUAUGGGAUGAAACAAGAACCGUCAAUAACCUGAAAAGGAUAUAGAAAUCGGUUUCCUGGAACAGAAUCAACAAUACCCGCAAGGGUAAGAAAAUAUUUUACAAUGAAGAGUUUGAUCCUGGCUCAGGAUGAACGCUAGCUACAGGCUUAACACAUGCAAGUCGAGGGGCAGCAUGAACUUAGCUUGCUAAGUUUGAUGGCGACCGGCGCACGGGUGAAUAACGCGUAUCCAACCUUCCGCUUACUCGGGGAUAGCCUUUCGAAAGAAAGAUUAAUACCCGAUGGUAUCUUAAGCGCACAUGCAAAUAAGAUUAAAGAUUUAUCGGUAAGCGAUGGGGAUGCGUUCCAUUAGAUAGUAGGCGGGGUAACGGCCCACCUAGUCGACGAUCUGGAGCGUAUGGAAAAGCAAAUGUAGGUAUAAGUAACGAUAAAGGGGGUGGGAAACCCCCUCGCCGAAAGACUAAGGUUUCCUGAUCAACGCUAAUCGGAUCAGGGUAAGUCGGGUCCUAAGGCUCAGCCGAACGGCGAGGCCGAUGGCAGAAACGGUUAAUAUUCCGUUACUACCUUUGAGGGUGACGUGGGGAAGCAGCAGUGACACCGCCGCCGGCUGACGGAAUAGCCGGUUGAAGGGUGUAGGCGCCGAUUUCCGCAGGCAAAUCCACGGAAAGAGCCGAACCUGAUAGUACGCCAACUCCUUCGGGAAGCGGCGAUAGCGCGGGUAAGCAGACUGCCGAGAAAAUCCGCUAAACAUAACUUCAGAGGUACCCGUACCGCAAACGGACACACGUAGUCGGGUUGAAUAUACUAAGGCGCUUGAGUGAAUCACGGUUAAGGAACUAGGCAAACUGACCCUGUAACUUCGGGAUAAAGGGUCCCUCCUCGCAAGAGAGGGCGCAGAGAAUAGGUCCAGGCAACUGUUUAACAAAAACACAGGGCUGUGCGAAUAUGAAAGUAGAAGUAUACAGCCUGACACCUGCCCGGUGCUGGAAGGUUAAGAGGAGAUGUCAUCGCAAGAGAAGCAUUGAAUUGAAGCCCCAGUAAACGGCGGCCGUAACUAUAACGGUCCUAAGGUAGCGAAAUUCCUUGUCGGGUAAGUUCCGACCUGCACGAAUGGUGUAAUGAUCCGGACGCUGUCUCAACCGUGAGCUCAGUGAAAUUGUAGUAUCGGUGAAGAUGCCGAUUACCCGCGAUGGGACGAAAAGACCCCGUGAACCUUUACUAUAGCUUAGCAUUGAAUUUGGGCACGCGAUGUGUAGGAUAGGUCGGAGGCUGAGAGACGGGCACGCCAGUGUUCGUGGAGCCGCUGUUGAAAUACGACCCUUCGUUUGUUUGAGUUCUAACUCC
RNAcentral lists this ribosomal RNA (1667 nucleotides) under Bacteroides mediterraneensis. RNAcentral's name for it is "bacterial LSU rRNA". The stretch from base 678 to 1667 matches the Rfam family "Bacterial large subunit ribosomal RNA", at positions 1 to 2229 of the family's 2925-position model. The record is from RNAcentral. Lineage: Bacteria; Pseudomonadati; Bacteroidota; Bacteroidia; Bacteroidales; Bacteroidaceae.